UACGUAGGGUGCAAGCGUUGUCCGGAAUUAUUGGGCGUAAAGAGCUCGUAGGCGGUCUGUCACGUCGGAUGUGAAAACUCGGGGCUCAACCCCGAGCCUGCAUACGAUACGGGCAGACUUGAGUUCGGCAGGGGAGACUGGAAUUCCUGGUGUAGCGGUGAAAUGCGCAGAUAUCAGGAAGAACACCCGUGGCGAAGGCGGUUCUCUGGGACGGUACUGACGCUGAGACGCGAAAGCGUGGGGAGCGAACAGG
This 253-nucleotide ribosomal RNA is filed under the name uncultured bacterium. Its description in RNAcentral is "partial 16S ribosomal RNA". It matches the Rfam family "Bacterial small subunit ribosomal RNA", at positions 524 to 776 of the family's 1533-position model. The record is from RNAcentral.